AGCACUUUCUUCAAGUUCUGACUGCAAAAAACUGUAACAGGAGCUGCUGCCGGGCAGAAGAAAAGCAGGGCAGGCUGGCUCCCAGGCCUCAGGGUGGGGAUGGCAGUGGGAAUGAAGCACCUGUAACUGGGCCCUUCCUGCCCUAAUGUUCAGGGGGCCCUACCCCUCGUGAGCUUGUCUUAUUAAGAACCCUCAAAAGGCCUAAGUUAACCAGCAGGUCCAAAGGUCCCAAGGAACAAGGUCAGAGACGCCAGGGAAAAGAGGAAAGCUGACUUGGAAACACGGGGAGGUGGCAGGGAGGGGCAAAAAGGACUCUGGCAAGCAGAUCCACUUGUCUGGGUCCCUGCAGUGAAGAACCCAAGAUCCAGGUACCUCAGCCUGGAAGAAACCGUGCACUGCAGGUCUUCCCUUCUAUCAAAACUAAAAGCAAGGAACAGAAGUCAAUUGAAACCCCAGGUCAUCCUACCCACCUUCUGGCAGUCUCUGGAUAAUGAUCUAAGGAAAUAAGCUUACAUUUAUAAUUAGAGGAUAAUUUGGAGAAUUUAUACUAUUUACACGGACCACCCUGCAAAGAUCAGGGAAGGCUGGAUUUCUUCCUCCUUGAUAGUCUGAACUGGAAGCAAAGGAGAAAACCCUUCUCCAAACAGGAGUUUCUCCUCUUUCCCUGGUCCUGCAGAAGAAAGAGGAGCUAUCCCCUCCUCAGCUAGCAGCACCUGAAAGGGAAACAGAGAUAAGGUGAACCAACGGUCACCAGACAGGACGCACAAAAAUAUCACAUACGGGUUCUGAUCCUCUUUGUGUCGUUUUGAAGUCUUAAAAUCUAUUAAAUAUGAGAAUACGAUGU
RNAcentral lists this long non-coding RNA (844 nucleotides) under Homo sapiens (human). RNAcentral's name for it is "HSALNT0366171". Lineage: Eukaryota; Metazoa; Chordata; Mammalia; Primates; Hominidae. The record is from RNAcentral.